AAAAUUUGCAGGAAGACUACGAACUCCAUUUCUUAAAAUGAUCGUACCGUUGUUGUUAACUUAGUCAAAUACUCUUAAGGCUUAAUGACACAAAAACCUAUCACUGUACCCACUUUUCUCUAUCAAUUGCAACUUCUUUCGCAUUUCCGACUCUCGACAAUACUAAGUCUUCUCCUAAUCUUAUUCGUAUACAUUUGUCAUGCCUGUCUUCUGGGUCUCUAAGUAUUCGAUCUCCGUCUAGUUGUCUGUCCAAUUAGUCCGUCUGGUAACCGGAAAUGUUCCACUCUAAGGUUCCAACUGUACUAUAGCUUGGCGAUAUUGGUUUUAUAAUUCUUU
Cinara cedri is the source of this 336-nucleotide non-coding RNA. Lineage: Eukaryota; Metazoa; Arthropoda; Insecta; Hemiptera; Aphididae. The record is from the annotation of a GenBank genome assembly.